UUCCAGAAUGACAAAAAGAACGGGUUUUCAAUAAUUUCAAAACAAUCACUCAAAACUCAAAACUACAAAACUGAAACACGAACAGAACAACUCCUUAUAUUCUAAAACUUUGCAUUAAAAAGUAUGGAGUUGAGAUCUUCGAACUCAAGUUUUGUAUUAUUUGCGCAUCACGUUAAGAAAGAGGUAUAGUUCAAAUAAGUUUUUAAAUUGACCAUUUAUUUAUGUUUCAAUUUUCAAUUUUGAUUUCAUUUUCAAAUUUUAAUUAUAAGAUUUUUAAAAAUGCAUUUGAUUUGUCAUUCUGAAAGAUCAUUUUUAAAAAUAGAAAACCAAAUUAAC
Molecule: long non-coding RNA, 336 nt
Filed under: Olea europaea subsp. europaea
Lineage: Eukaryota; Viridiplantae; Streptophyta; Magnoliopsida; Lamiales; Oleaceae
Source: RNAcentral